This 73-nucleotide transfer RNA is filed under the name Danionella translucida. It matches the Rfam family "tRNA". Rfam says of the family: Transfer RNA (tRNA) molecules are approximately 80 nucleotides in length. Their secondary structure includes four short double-helical elements and three loops (D, anti-codon, and T loops). RNAcentral also lists the same sequence under 1 other name. The record is from Rfam by way of RNAcentral. Lineage: Eukaryota; Metazoa; Chordata; Actinopteri; Cypriniformes; Danionidae.
GUUUCCGUAGUGUAGUGGUCAUCACGUUUGCUUUACACGCAAAAGGUCCCCAGUUCGAAACUGGGCGGAAACA